UUUGACCCCUGAGACUCAUUCCUAACCACCAAGUUCCUCUUCAAUGUCUCUCCCUUCUUCUUGCCAGACUCCCAGAUGAAUUCCGUGUCCCUCGUCCAGCAGACUUACCCUUCUCUCUUCCUCUGGCAGGUGGCAGAGAGUUCCUGGAAAUGAAAUCUUCUGGAGAGAAGCAGAUACCCACAAAAUGAAGCUCCUUCUUUGGGCCUGCCUCAUGUGCAUUGUUUUGGCCAAGAAGAGGCAACAUUCUUCCUCCAGUGAAGAGGACCAUGACCACAGACCACCACCACCAGCGAGGCCUUCUGGAUCGGAUCAUGAACCCCCCUUCCAUCCUAGGGCCCCCUGUCCAGCGGUUCCCCCUCCACCUCCACCAGCCCCUGGCCCUCCGGCACCCCCUGCCCCUCCAGCACCC
Molecule: long non-coding RNA, 409 nt
Organism: Ornithorhynchus anatinus (platypus)
Lineage: Eukaryota; Metazoa; Chordata; Mammalia; Monotremata; Ornithorhynchidae
Exons: 5
Source: RefSeq, a predicted model, not a curated record